CCUACGGGAGGCUGCAGUAGGGAAUAUUGCUCAAUGGGGGAAACCCUGAAGCAGCAACGCCGCGUGGAGGAUGAAGGUUUUAGGAUUGUAAACUCCUUUUGUCAGAGAAGAUUAUGACGGUAUCUAACGAAUAAGCACCGGCUAACUCCGCGCCAGCAGCCGCGGUAAUACGGAGGAUGCGAGGGUAAUCCGGAUUCAUUGGGUUUAAGGGGUGCGUGGGCGGACGCUUAGGUCAGCGGUAAACUUGAGGGCCUAAACCUCGUCGAGCCGUUGAAACUGGGUGUCUUGAGUGGGCGAGAGGUACGCGGAAUGCGUGGUGUAGCGGUGAAAUGCGUAGAUAUCACGAAGAACACCAGUGGCGAAGGCGGCGUACCGGCGCGCAACUGACGCUGAAGCACGAAGGCGUGGGGAGCGAACAGGAUUAGAUACCCCGGUAGUC
RNAcentral lists this ribosomal RNA (439 nucleotides) under uncultured bacterium. Its description in RNAcentral is "partial 16S ribosomal RNA". It matches the Rfam family "Bacterial small subunit ribosomal RNA", at positions 338 to 795 of the family's 1533-position model. The record is from RNAcentral.